CGGUGGGGUUCCCGAGCGGCCAAAGGGAGCAGACUGUAAAUCUGCCGUCACAGACUUCGAAGGUUCGAAUCCUUCCCCCACCNN
RNAcentral lists this transfer RNA (84 nucleotides) under Enterobacter cloacae. RNAcentral's name for it is "tRNA-Tyr(gta)". It matches the Rfam family "tRNA". Rfam says of the family: Transfer RNA (tRNA) molecules are approximately 80 nucleotides in length. Their secondary structure includes four short double-helical elements and three loops (D, anti-codon, and T loops). Lineage: Bacteria; Pseudomonadati; Pseudomonadota; Gammaproteobacteria; Enterobacterales; Enterobacteriaceae. The record is from RNAcentral.